CUUGAGCCGUGGCUUUCGGAGCUAACGCGUUAAGUAGACCGCCUGGGGAGUACGGUCGCAAGAUUAAAACUCAAAUGAAUUGACGGGGGCCCGCACAAGCGGUGGAGCAUGUGGUUUAAUUCGAUGCAACGCGAAGAACCUUACCUACUCUUGACAUCCAGAGAAGCCAGCGGAGACGCAGGUGUGCCUUCGGGAACUCUGAGACAGGUGCUGCAUGGCUGUCGUCAGCUCGUGUCGUGAGAUGUUGGGUUA
This 252-nucleotide ribosomal RNA is filed under the name Vibrio sp. a11m6m1. RNAcentral's name for it is "partial 16S ribosomal RNA". It matches the Rfam family "Bacterial small subunit ribosomal RNA", at positions 831 to 1082 of the family's 1533-position model. The record is from RNAcentral. Lineage: Bacteria; Pseudomonadati; Pseudomonadota; Gammaproteobacteria; Vibrionales; Vibrionaceae. RNAcentral also lists the same sequence under 2 other names.